CCUACGGGAGGCAGCAGUGGGGAAUAUUGGACAAUGGGGGGAACCCUGAUCCAGCGACGCCGCGUGAGUGAAGAAGUAUUUCGGUAUGUAAAGCUCUAUCAGCAGGGAAGAAAGAAAUGACGGUACCUGACUAAGAAGCCCCGGCUAACUACGUGCCAGCAGCCGCGGUAAUACGUAUGGAGCAAGCGUUAUCCGGAUUUACUGGGUGUAAAGGGAGCGCAGGCGGCCUUGCAAGUCUGAUGUGAAAUACCGGGGCUCAACCCCGGAGCUGCAUUGGAAACUGUGAGGCUGGAGUGUCGGAGAGGCAGGCGGAAUUCCUAGUGUAGCGGUGAAAUGCGUAGAUAUUAGGAGGAACACCAGUGGCGAAGGCGGCUUACUGGACUGUAACUGACGUUGAGGCUCGAAAGCGUGGGGAGCAAACAGGAUUAGAUACCCGGGUAGUC
This 443-nucleotide ribosomal RNA is filed under the name uncultured bacterium. Its description in RNAcentral is "partial 16S ribosomal RNA". It matches the Rfam family "Bacterial small subunit ribosomal RNA", at positions 338 to 795 of the family's 1533-position model. The record is from RNAcentral.